Molecule: ribosomal RNA, 253 nt
Filed under: uncultured bacterium
Lineage: Bacteria
Description: partial 16S ribosomal RNA
Rfam family: Bacterial small subunit ribosomal RNA
Source: RNAcentral
UACGUAGGGUGCAAGCGUUGUCCGGAAUUAUUGGGCGUAAAGAGCUCGUAGGCGGUCUGUCGCGUCGGCUGUGAAAACCCGGAGCUCAACUCCGGGCCUGCAGUCGAUACGGGCAGACUGGAGUUCGGCAGGGGAGACUGGAAUUCCUGGUGUAGCGGUGAAAUGCGCAGAUAUCAGGAGGAACACCGGUGGCGAAGGCGUGUCUCUGGGCCGAUACUGACGCUGAGGAGCGAAAGCGUGGGGAGCGAACAGG